AUGGAUCCAGAAAUGAGGGAUCGUGUCAGGAAGAGGGAGGAGGAGGAUAACAAAAUGAUGGUAUUCGUUUUCCCUGCACUACAUUUGAUAAAGACCGAUGGAGUUGCUCUUAGGGAGUGGAGGAUUCCACGUCAUACAUCAUCACUAACAGGCAAGAUGUUUGUUAAAGAGUUACUCGAAGGGCACGUCAAAAACUGUCGAGUAGCAUUUAGGAUGGAGCCGCAUAUCUUCAAAUCUUUGGCUAAUUAUCUUCGAAGGGAGAAGUUGGUGUCUGAUACCAGAAUUAAAGUCGAAGAGAAACUAGCAUCAUUUUUGUGGAUGUUAUCCCAUAAUUCUUCAUUUGAAGACCUUCAAGUUCGGCUUGGUCACAGCGGGGAUACUUUCCAUUGGCAAAUGAAGAAUUUCUUUGACAUCAUCCCUACUCUCUCCAAGCAUUUUUUGAAGCCUCCAAAUCCCAGUCAAGUGCAUCCGAAGAUUCCGUCGGACACGAGAUUAUUUCCUUAUUUUCAGAACUGCAUUGGGGCAAUUUAUGGGACACAUGUUCCCAUAACAAUUUCAGGAGAAAAGGCCGCACCAUCCAGAAAUUAG
Molecule: ribosomal RNA, 588 nt
Filed under: Triticum aestivum (bread wheat)
Lineage: Eukaryota; Viridiplantae; Streptophyta; Magnoliopsida; Poales; Poaceae
Description: partial small subunit ribosomal RNA
Source: RNAcentral